CGGCGGACGGGUGAGCAACGCGUGGGUAACCUACCCUGUACACACGGAUAACAUACCGAAAGGUAUGCUAAUACGGGAUAAUAUAUUUGAGAGGCAUCUCUUAAAUAUCAAAGGUGAGCCAGUACAGGAUGGACCCGCGUCUGAUUAGCUAGUUGGUAAGGUAACGGCUUACCAAGGCGACGAUCAGUAGCCGACCUGAGAGGGUGAUCGGCCACAUUGGAACUGAGACACGGUCCAA
Molecule: ribosomal RNA, 238 nt
Filed under: uncultured bacterium
Lineage: Bacteria
Description: partial 16S ribosomal RNA
Rfam family: Bacterial small subunit ribosomal RNA
Source: RNAcentral